RNAcentral lists this long non-coding RNA (611 nucleotides) under Homo sapiens (human). RNAcentral describes it as "non-protein coding lnc-NECAB3-1:1". Lineage: Eukaryota; Metazoa; Chordata; Mammalia; Primates; Hominidae. The record is from RNAcentral.
GUCCGCCACAGAAACGCUUCCACUGUAAGGAGCAGCCUCGUCAGGAAGUUGGAAAGCCACGUUAAGGGGACUGAAGGCCUCUUGGCGCAGCAGCCCUUUCAAUCAUUCGCCUAAUGCUUAUUGCUGCUUCUCUGCCGACUCCAAGGUAGGGAUGGGGCUGUCCCCAACAGACACCAGCGCACAUGCCCUAUUUGGUAUAAGCAUCACUGAGUGUACACUGGGCAGCCGUAGGCUCGACCAGAUGGGGUCUGUGAGGGAAGCUCCACCUCAGGGGCUGUGGAGGGGGAGGAGGGGACACAAGGCCCGCCCCUCAGGCCUCCUAACCUUCUCUUAGCUCACGAUGGAAAAGGUCACCUGCACCAUCAUCUUUGGAAAUGAGCACGUCGAUGCCCGAGGAAAGAGGCAGGUAGUCAACGUUUUGGUUUCACAAGAACUACAGACACUCCAGAGUUGGAAGGGCCCUGCGGAGCCGCUGGCACAGCCCCCACCGCAAUCUGGGCAGGGCUGCUCUCGACAGCUGGCCAUCUGGCCCGUGCUGGAACAGUCCAUGCUCCGCUGGCUAUUCUUCCGUUUGGUUCAGACACGCUACCACCCAGUUUUCUGCAAACAGC